CGCAAGAUUAAAACUCAAAUGAAUUGACGGGGGCCCGCACAAGCGGUGGAGCAUGUGGUUUAAUUCGAUGCAACGCGAAGAACCUUACCUACUCUUGACAUCCAGAGAAUCUGGCGGAGACGCUGGAGUGCCUUCGGGAGCUCUGAGACAGGUGCUGCAUGGCUGUCGUCAGCUCGUGUUGUGAAAUGUUGGGUUAAGUCCCGCAACGAGCGCAACCCUUAUCCUUGUUUGCCAGCACGUAAUGGUGGGAACUCCAGGGAGACUGCCGGUGAUAAACCGGAGGAAGGUGGGGACGACGUCAAGUCAUCAUGGCCCUUACGAGUAGGGCUACACACGUGCUACAAUGGCGCAUACAGAGGGCGGCCAACUUGCGAAAGUGAGCGAAUCCCAAAAAGUGCGUCGUAGUCCGGAUUGGAGUCUGCAACUCGACUCCAUGAAGUCGGAAUCGCUAGUAAUCGUGGAUCAGAAUGCCACGGUGAAUACGUUCCCGGGCCUUGUACACACCGCCCGUCACACCAUGGGAGUGGGCUGCAAAAGAAGUGGGUAGUUUAACCUUCGGGAGGACGCUCA
Molecule: ribosomal RNA, 570 nt
Filed under: Vibrio sp.
Lineage: Bacteria; Pseudomonadati; Pseudomonadota; Gammaproteobacteria; Vibrionales; Vibrionaceae
Description: bacterial SSU rRNA
Rfam family: Bacterial small subunit ribosomal RNA
Source: RNAcentral